This 513-nucleotide ribosomal RNA is filed under the name uncultured bacterium. RNAcentral's name for it is "partial 16S ribosomal RNA". It matches the Rfam family "Bacterial small subunit ribosomal RNA", at positions 28 to 523 of the family's 1533-position model. The record is from RNAcentral.
GAUGAACGCUGGCGGCGUGCCUAAUACAUGCAAGUCGAGCGAACAGACGAGGAGCUUGCUCCUCUGACGUUAGCGGCGGACGGGUGAGUAACACGUGGAUAACCUACCUAUAAGACUGGGAUAACUUCGGGAAACCGGAGCUAAUACCAGAUAACAUGUUGAACCGCAUGGUUCAACAGUGAAAGACGGUCUUGCUGUCACUUAUAGAUGGAUCCGCGCCGCAUUAGACAGUUGGUAAGGUAACGGCUUACCAAGGCAACGAUGCGUAGCCGACCUGAGAGGGAGGUCGGCCACACUGGAACGGAGACACGGUCCAGACUCCUACGGGAGGCAGCAGUAGGGGAUCUUCCGCAAUGGGCGAAAGCCUGACGGAGCAACGCCGCGUGAGUGAUGAAGGUCUUCGGAUCGUAAAACUCUGUUAUUAGGGAAGAACAAAUGUGUAAGUAACUAUGCACGUCUUGACGGUACCUAAUCAGAAAGCCACGGCUAACUACGUGCCAGCCGCCGCGGUAA